Molecule: ribosomal RNA, 1098 nt
Filed under: Triticum aestivum (bread wheat)
Lineage: Eukaryota; Viridiplantae; Streptophyta; Magnoliopsida; Poales; Poaceae
Description: partial small subunit ribosomal RNA
Source: RNAcentral
AUGGCGACAAGCAUGCGUUGGAUAGCGCUCUUCUUGCUGGUCGCCGUGUCUGCUCUGGCCGUUUCUGCCAUCAUCGAGGAUGGCCUGUUACCCAACGGGGACUUCAGAAACGGGCCAGACAAGUCCCAGAUGAAGGGCCCGGUGCUGACGGGGAAGCACGCGAUACCCAACUGGGAGCUCUCGGGGUUCGUGGAGUAUAUCGAGUCGGGGCACACGCAGGCCGACAUGAUGCUGCCGGUUCCGGUGGGCGCGAACGCCGUGCGGCUGGGCAACGACGCCACCAUCCGGCAGCAGCUCAAGGUCGCCCGCCACACCUACUACUCCAUCUCCUUCAUCGCCGCGCGGUCAUGCGCCCAGGAGGAGAAGCUCAACGUGUCGGUCGACCCGGAGUUCGGCCUGCUCCCGAUCCAGACCGUGUACACCAACACCGGCUGGGACACCUACUCCUGGGCGUUCAAGCCCAGGCACACCACCGUGUGGCUCUCCAUCCACAACACCGGCAUCGAGGAGAACCCGGCGUGCGGCCCUCUCAUCAUCGCCGUCGCCAUCAAGACCCUCUACCCUCAGCUGUACAACAAGGGCAACAUGGUGAAGAAUGGGGACUUCGAGCAGGGGCCGUACAUCUUCCCGAACACGCCGUGGGGCGUGCUGAUGCCGCCGAUCUUCGAGGACGUGCACUCGCCGCUCCCGUGGUGGAUGAUCAUGUCGGACACCAAGGUGGUCAAGUACAUCGACGCGCAGCACCACGCGGUGCCCAAGGGCGCGCGCGCCGUGGAGCUGGUGGCCGGCGUGGAGGUCGCGCUGGUGCAAGAGGUGCUGGGCACCGUGCCCGGGCGGUCGUACAGGCUCACGUUCUCCGUCGGGGACGCGCGCAACGGAUGCGUCGGGUCCCUGGGCGUGGACGUGUACGCGGCGCGGGAGAGGCUGAGGGUCUCGUACGUGUCCCGCGGCACCGGCGGGCACAAGUGCGGCAAGCUCGAGUUCACGGCGAUCGCGGACAAGACGCGCGUGGUGUUCCAGAGCUCGAACCACCACACCGUCAACGCCACGCUGUGCGGGCCCGUCGUUGACGACGUCUGGCUCGUCAGGCUCAAGUAG